Molecule: unclassified non-coding RNA, 272 nt
Organism: Erinaceus europaeus (western European hedgehog)
Lineage: Eukaryota; Metazoa; Chordata; Mammalia; Eulipotyphla; Erinaceidae
Gene: 7SK
Rfam family: 7SK RNA
About the family: 7SK was discovered as an abundant small nuclear RNA in the mid-70s but a possible function has only recently been suggested. Two independent studies have found that 7SK RNA binds the CDK9/cyclin T complex (known as elongation factor P-TEFb).
Source: Ensembl
GGAUGUGAAGGUGAUCUGACUGUGAGUCUACUGAUUGCUAGGCUGAUUUGGCUGAUCUGGCUGGCUAGGCAGGUGACCCUUUCCUCCCUCACUUCUCCAUGUGUAUCCCUCCUGAAGAUGCAUGCUCAGUUGAAGAGGACGGCCUGCCCUGAAUAGAGACAGACCAGUAUUCCUCUGCUAGAACCUCCAAACAAACUCUUAAGAUAGAGACAGGGAGAAAGGGGUGGGGGUUGCAAUGCUGAAGCUUCCUUCAGUGUGGUAGAUGCUGGACU